RNAcentral lists this ribosomal RNA (468 nucleotides) under uncultured bacterium. RNAcentral describes it as "partial 16S ribosomal RNA". It matches the Rfam family "Bacterial small subunit ribosomal RNA", at positions 28 to 507 of the family's 1533-position model. The record is from RNAcentral.
GACGAACGCUGGCGGCGUGCUUAACACAUGCAAGUCGAACGGAAAGGCCCUGCUUUUGUGGGGUGCUCGAGUGGCGAACGGGUGAGUAACACGUGAGUAAACUGCACUUGACUUUGGGAUAAAUUCAGGAAACUGGGGCUAAUACCGGAUAGGAGCUCCUGCUGCGUGGGGGGGGUUGGAAAGUUUCGGCGGUUGGGGAUGGACUAGCGGCUUAUCAGCUUGUUGGUGGGGUAGUGGCUGACCAAGGCUGUGAAGGGUAGCCGGCCUGGGAGCGUGACCGGCCACAUUGGGACUGCGAUACGGCGCAGACUCCUACGGUCGGCAGCAGUGGGGAGUAUUGCACAAUGGGCGGAAGCCUGAUGCAGCAACGCCGCGUGCGGGAUGACGGCCUUCGGGUUGUAAACCGCUUUCGCCUGUGACGAAGCGUGAGUGACGGUACUGGGUAAAGAAGCACCGGCUAACUACGUG